This 797-nucleotide ribosomal RNA is filed under the name Staphylococcus epidermidis. RNAcentral describes it as "bacterial SSU rRNA". It matches the Rfam family "Bacterial small subunit ribosomal RNA", at positions 1 to 763 of the family's 1533-position model. Lineage: Bacteria; Bacillati; Bacillota; Bacilli; Caryophanales; Staphylococcaceae. The record is from RNAcentral.
UUUUGUAGGAGGUUGAUUCUUGGUUCAAGAUUGAUCGCUGGCGGGCGUGCCUUAAUAUACAUUGCAAGUUCGAGCGAAAAGAACGAGGGAGCUUGCUUCCUUUUACGUUAGCCGCGACGGGUGAGUACACGUGGAUUACUUACCUUAUUAAGACUGGGAUGACUUCGGGAAACCGGAGCUAAUACCGGGAUAAUAUAUUGAACGGCAUGGUUCAAUAGUGAAAGACGGGUUUUGCUGUCACUUAUAGAUGGAUCCGCGCCGCAUUAGCUAGUUGGUAAGGUAACCGGCUCUACCAAGGCAACGAUGCGUAGCCGACCUGAGAGGGUGAUCGGCCACACUGGAACUGAGACACGGUCCAGACUCCUACGGGAGGCAGCAGUAGGGAAUCUUCCGCAAUGGGCGAAAGCCUGACGGAGCAACGCCGCGUGAGUGAUGAAGGUCUUCGGAUCGUAAAACUCUGUUAUUAGGGAAGAACAAAUGUGUAAGUAACUAUGCACGUCUUGACGGUACCUAAUCAGAAAGCCACGGCUAACUACGUGCCAGCAGCCGCGGUAAUACGUAGGUGGCAAGCGUUAUCCGGAAUUAUUGGGCGUAAAGCGCGCGUAGGUGGUUGAAAUAAGUCUGAUGUGAAAGCCCACGGCUCAACCGUGGAGGGUCAUUGGAAACUGGAAAACUUGAGUGCAGAAGAGGAAAGUGGAAUUCCAUGUGUAGCGGUGAAAUGCGCUUAGAUAUGGAGGAACACCAGUGGCGAAGGCGACUUCUAGUACUGUAAUUGACGCGAGACGAGUGUUAUUCAG